Molecule: long non-coding RNA, 1590 nt
Organism: Oncorhynchus tshawytscha (Chinook salmon)
Lineage: Eukaryota; Metazoa; Chordata; Actinopteri; Salmoniformes; Salmonidae
Source: Ensembl
CCAACUCCUUACCACUCACCCCUCAUCCCCACACUGCUUACCACUCACCCCUCACCCUUCAGCCCUCACCCCAACUCCUUACCACUCACCCCUCACCCCCACACUCCUUACCACUCACCCCCACACUCCUUACCACUCACCCCUCAUCCCCACACUCCUUACCACUCACCCCUCACCCUUCAGCCCUCACCCCAACUCCUUACCACUCACCCCUCACCCCCACACUCCUUACCACUCACCCCUCACCCUUCAGCCCUCACCCCAACUCCUUACCACUCACCCUUCAGCCCUCAUCCCAACUCCUUACCACUCACCCUCACCCCCACACUCCUUACCACUAACCCCUCACCCCCACACUCCUUACCACUCACACUUCAGCCCUCACCUCAACUCCUCACCACUCACCCCUCACCCCCACACUCCUUACCACUCACCCCCACACUCCUUACCACUCACCCCUCAUCCCCACACUCCUUACCACUCACCCCUCACCCUUCAGCCCUCACCCCAACUCCUUACUACUCACCCCUCACCCCCACACUCCUUACCACUCACCCCUCACCCUUCAGCCCUCACCCCAACUCCUUACCACUCACCCUUCAGCCCUCACCCCAACUCCUCACCACUCACCCCUCACCCCCACACUCCUCACCACUCACCCUUCAGCCCUCACCCCAAUUCCUUACUACUCACCCCUCACCCCCACACUCCUCACCCUCACCCUUCACCCUUCAGCCCUCACCCCAACUCCUCACCCUCACCCUUCACCCCCAACUCCUUACCACUCACCCCCACACUCCUUACCCUCACCCUUCACCAUUUACCUCCACACUCCUCACCCUUUCCCCCCUACACUCCUCACCUCACACCCUAGUCAUCACCCCUUACCCCCUCCUUCUCACCCCUCAUUCUUUUGGUUCUUUAUCACUAGUCCCUAGUCCCUGGUCUGACUCAGCAAGGCUUGCCCUUUGUCCCAGACAAGGGUUGCACUGAAUACCUUUCAAUAGCUCUUUACACCGUCUCCCCAUGUGCCUCAAGACGGACAGGGAUGAUUCUACUAUUGGGAUUUUGUAUUGUUUUGUAAAAAGGUUAUUGAGUUUUGUUAUGACAGAACUGCUAUUUCAGAAGGUUGUAUCAUCCUCCAUGUCCAUCUAGAAUUGUUUUCCAUGUCUUUGAUCAUCAGAUCCACUAACAGACACUCAGAUUUCUAUCUGCCAACAACUCUUAUUGUUUCCCCUGCAAACUCCUCUCAACUCUUUGAUGUUGAUACUCUGAAGAUCCUGGCAGAUGGAGAGACAGAAUGAAGAGAAAACCUGAAGAAAACAAAACCAGUCAACACAAGGACGUGUGUCAGCCCCAGCAGCCAUGUCUGCUGUCUGACUGAAUCAUCACUGGGUGUGGUGUGGUGUGGUGUGAUAUGGUGUGGUAUGGUGAGGUAUGGUGUGGUAUGGUGUGGUAGGGUGAGGUAUGCUGUGGUGUGGUAUGGUGAGGUAUGGUGUGGUAGGGUGAGUUAUGGUGUGGUGUGGUGUGAUAUGGUGUGGUAUGGUGAGGUAGGGUGAGGUAUGCUGUGGUGUGGUGUGGUAUGGUGAG